Long non-coding RNA from Candoia aspera, 733 nucleotides. RefSeq lists it as uncharacterized. Lineage: Eukaryota; Metazoa; Chordata; Lepidosauria; Squamata; Candoiidae. The record is from RefSeq and is a predicted model, not a curated record. The transcript has 2 exons.
UCAAUGUACAAAACACUGUACGUGUGGAGGAACAGCCUAUCACUGUUCAAUUCACCAGGCCAUGGGAUAGGUAAGCUCGUUCGGGCACAGCACUGAGUUACAAGAUUAAGAACUAAAGUCCUAGGGGAAUCCACGCCAGCACAAUCAUCUCUCAAACCAUCCCUUCUGCUUUUUCCCCCCCUUUGAAAUUUCAAAUUCCAGUUUGUGGACAAAGUCCUACCUAUCUGAGAAUAUAGAUCUCCGACCACUGACCAAACUCCAUUCCAAGUGACAACCUAGUUAUGCUUUUCCCCAGGCUCUGACAUUCAAUGUUUGGAACUACCAGGGAGAUUGCAGAUCAGCUCGCCUCGGCCUGAACUGCUGUGCACCUUGAAAGAAUGGAUUCUGGCUACUUGGGUGACUUCAAAGUCAAGCAUUGGGGAAGAGGAUUCCUUCUGAUUGCCAGUAACAAAGCAGCUAUUAUUCUCCAGAUAUGUUGGACUGCGACUUCUAUCAUUCCCAGACAGCAUGAUGCUGUUGAUUAGGGGAGAUGCAGUCUAUUGUAUCUGAAAGGUAACAAGUUGCUAAGGAUUGAAGGCCAUCUUGAAUACAUGUGCCUGAGGUCUCCAGAAACCUCAAAACAUUGCCAACUAAUUUUUCAUGUACCACAUGGGAAAGCCUUUCAAUACAUGACUGAAGAGUAAUCAUAUUGUCAAUUUUAAGGCUUUAAUUAAAUUAAAUAAAAUGAACUCUU